CAUAAUAGUGCAAUAUCUUUGCAAUAAUGGCACUUGUAUUGUAUCCACAGUAUUUCCUAAAUAAGUUUCAAAUAAAAUGCAUUCUUCUAUUUGGAGCUUAUUCUUUUCAGGGCUGCAGAUGUUUUAUUAUGUGAUCAGGUUGAAAUCUUACAAGAAAGCUGAAAUUGUGGAAAUGAUGAAGAAAGGCCAUUUACUGGGCAUUGCACCUGGUGGAGGUAGAGAAGCACUGUAUAGUCACGAUUACUGCAUAACGUGGGGUAAACGCACAGGUUUUGCUCAGGCAGCUUUGGAGGCGAAAGUGGUGAGUGAUCUUUGUGCAAUCUGCAUUGCCUUCACGAUUAUCCUAGAUAAGACGUAAUGUGUUGACAUCCUUGAUCCAGCAUCCAAAAAAGCUGAGGAUGGCAAAUAUCCUGUUUGGGGGUCAAAUGACAUCUGGAGUGCCACAGGUCUCCCCACCCCUGCUUUAAAACAAACCUACUGAAAUUGGUGAUGUUUAAAAAGAAAACCUGCGUUUUCCUUUUAUCUUUCUUUUUUAUAUAUAAUUUUAUUUUAAAAAAUUGUUUUACUGUUUAAAAUAUUCAUUUUACAUCCUUAAGAUAUCAACGACUUCGUUUCUUCUCCUUUGAUAGUUCAUUUUACAUAUCAUAAAUCCCUGCAUAUUUUACAAAAACUAUACUAUGUAUAGUAUUCCAUUAUUGAAUCCAUCAAAACAUAUUACACUGAAGAAUUUAUCUUAAUGCUGCCAGUCAUCAUCUAUUUCAAGAUCCUUCUCAUAAUACAGUGGUGCCCCGCAAGACGAAUGCCUCGCAAGACGGAAAAACCGCUAGACGAAAGGGUUUUCCGUUUUGAAGUUGCUUCGCAGGACGAAUUCCCCUAUGGGCUUGCUUCGCAAGACGAAAAUACCUUACGAGUCUUGAGAUUUUUUUUCGCUUUUCCCCCCCCUUUAUCUAAUCUGCUAAGCCUUUAAUAGCCUUUAAUAGCCUUUUAGCAGCUAAUCCCCUAAGCCUUUAAGCCUUUAAUAGCCGCUAAACAGCUGAUAGCGCUAAUAGCGCUAAUCCGUCAAUGGGCUUGCUUCGCAAGACGAAAAAACCGCUAGACGAAGACUCUUGCGGAACGGAUUAAUUUCGUCUUGCGAGGCACCACUGUAUGUCUGGAGCACUCAGUCUUUGAUAUUUCUAGAAUAAAAAAAGAACCAUACAAUCUCCUGGAAAUGUUUUCUUCUUAGCAUACGGGGAUUUAACCCUGAAAGCAUGAUCAAGAGCUUGAUGUACCUCCUACUUUUGAGUCUCAAGAAGAUUUGCAAGUGCCUCAAUUAUUUUAUCCCUUAUUGCUUCACCAGAUUGCUGAGCAAUAGAUCUAAAUCAUAAAAGUAUCUCUUUUUGCCUCAAUUCAAUUAAAGCCAAAUUGUCUGCCAAUAGUUCCUGAGAUGCUAUAGCUCCCGCCAGUUGAAUCCAGGGGGGAGGAGUAUAAAAGUUUGAAUGCUUUUUCUUGAAAAGAAAGUUUUCAAAGUUCUUAUCCCCCUGUCCCCUUCCUUUUAUUUCCAAUGGCAGACUUUCUUUGUUUCCUUCAAUGCUUCAGCCAUCUGGUUCCCAUGCAGGAUAGUCACCAAUUCUAGAGAAGACUCCCCUUUUGUUCUCCUGGAAGUUCACCAAAUUAAUCCAAAUGCUAAAGACACUUGAGUAAUAAAUCUCUCUUUCUUUGGUUUUAUUUUCUGGGAAAUCUGCUAAUCAAAAACUUGACCUGAUUGAGCAAAACCAAUGUGAUUUUUGGAUUCAGUGCAUCAGAUUCGUCCUAAAUCAACUGAAAAAACGCAGACAACAAAUUUGUUGUUGACCAGUGUAAUAAAUCCCUUUUUCCUUGGUUUUAUUAUCUGGAGCCCAGAGAUUACAGCUUGACAGCUGGGUUAGGCCAGGACCAAAUGGAACCUCAGACCCAUUGGGAACUCGCUUUUGACCUACACAGGAGCCCUCAGAGUCCUGGUCAUCCCCAAGACCUUUUUGGGGUGCUCAUUGCCUAUGGGCUGCCGCCAAACUCCAAAAUGCAGCGGCCAGUUGGCUGAACCUGGAUUCCUUUCCCCCUCAGGGCAAACCAGGAAAUUCUUUUUUCCCCUUCAAUUCCUGAAAAUCUGGAGGACAGCUUCUGAAUUUCUUCAUCUGAGAUAUUUGAAUAAAUGUGUCAGGAAUUUUAAAGCCAAUUACAUUAUCAUUUAUGAGUUGCUUCUCAUUAUAAUCUCAGAUGUGAAGCAUUCUUCAUAGUCCAUAACAAAAAUAAAGGCAGGAUGGUUGGGGCAAAAUAAUUAUCCAAUCCUCACCUUUCUUUUCAUGUUCGUUUCAACAUUUAUAUUUUAGACCAUCAUCCCUAUUUUUACACAAAACAGUUGUGAAGCAUACAGGACCAUUGGAAAGACAAGUAAGUUAAAUACCUUGGUUAAUCAAGAGAUCUCAGGCAAUAUACAUUUUAAUACAAUAGAAUGAUCUUUUAAAAAGAAUAUUUACUACUCAUGAAUAGAUUUUAUAGGGACAUGGGUGGCGCUGUGGGUUAAACCACAGAGCCUAGGACUUGCCGAUCAGAAGGUCGGCAGUUCGAUUCCCCGUGACAGGGUGAGCUCCCAUUGCUUGGUCCCUGCUCCUGCCAACCUAGCAAUUCGAAAGCACGUCAAAGUACAAGUAGAUAAAUAGGUACCGCUCCAGCGGGAAGGUAAACUGCGUUUCCAUGCAGUGCUCUGGUUCGCCAGAAGUGGCUUAGUCAUGCUGGCCACAUGUCCUGGAAGCUGUCUGCGGACAAACGCCGGCUCCCUCGGCCAAUAAAGCGAGAUGAGAGCCGCAAUCCCAGAGUCGGUCACGACUGGACCUAAUGGUCAGGGGUCCCUUUACCUUUACUUAAUAGAUUUUAUUCCAUGUCCACUUAUCUGCAAAAGCUGUGCUGCCUGCCUCAGUACUGAGUGAACAUGCCCUUGCUUAGUUUUCUAGUAGAUUUGACAGAAAGCUAUAAUCGAUAAAUGUGGAGCAACCCUAACAUGGAGGGGAACUGAACAGGAAACAUACCAUAUUCUGCAGUCUAUUGUACACAACUUAUGACUGAUUGCAAAGAGCUGAGAAGAGCUGACUGAAUAUCUUGUACAGUGGUACCUCAGGUUAAGUACUUAAUUGGUUCCAGAAGUCUGUACUUAACCUGAAGCGUUCUUAAUCUGAAGCGGACUUUCCCAUUGAAAGUAAUGGAAAGUGGAUUGAUCCGUUCCAGAUGAUGAAAAAAUACCCCCUAAAAUAGCAAUUUAACACAAAUUUUACUGUUUCACGAGACCAUUGUUCCAUAAAAUGAAGGCAAUAAUCAAUGUACUGUACUAUAAAAUAAAUAAGACAGUAUUUUAGAUGAAAAGAAUUAAAAUUUAUUUCCAAACUUACUGUUUGGAGGGGCUCAGGGUCCUCUUCCACAAUCACAAUCGGCUUGGCUUCCGGCAUUCAUGGAGGCCUCAGAGAGCUCCUGGAGCCCAGUCGCAGAGCCUCUGCAGCCACCAUGGAUGUCAGGGCUUGGCUCCUGGCAUUCGAGGAGCCGCUCUAGGCACCGCGGAUGUCGGGGCUUGGUUACCCCCAUUCGUGGAGCCGCUCUAGGCAUCGCAGAUGUCGGGGGUUGGUUCCCUGUAUUCGCGGAGGCCUCUGACAGCUCCGUAGGCUCUGCCGAUGUCUGGGUCUGACUCCAGGCAAUGUCCUCAGAGAGCUUGGAAAACUUACUUCCGGGUUACAAUCCUUCAUAACCCGAAAAAACGUAAGUUGAAGCGCUCGUAACCCGAGGUACCACUGUAUCUCUUUUCCCAAGCACUCAUAUUAUUUAACUCUUCCUUUCUUACUAUUUAUUGCAAUUGCUAAACACUGAGAAUGUCAACUAAUUUCAGAUUUGAUAUGGUGUCGCUUUCCUUCAGAAUCUUCUUCCAUUUCAUACACAGGGCUGACAAAAUGGCUGUAUGAGAAAACUCGAUGUAUGGUCCUUCCCUUUUACGGAGGGUUUCCAGUGAAAUUGAGGACAUUUAUUGGAGAACCCAUCCCAUAUGAUCCAAAUAUAACAUCUGUAGAGCUGGCUGAAAGAG
Molecule: non-coding RNA, 4081 nt
Organism: Podarcis lilfordi (Lilford's wall lizard)
Lineage: Eukaryota; Metazoa; Chordata; Lepidosauria; Squamata; Lacertidae
Source: the annotation of a GenBank genome assembly